Gallus gallus (chicken) is the source of this 2725-nucleotide long non-coding RNA. The record is from Ensembl. NCBI's taxonomy places the organism in Eukaryota, Metazoa, Chordata, Aves, Galliformes, Phasianidae.
UCUGGGUUUACACAAAUGCGGUGCAGGGAAGAAUUAGGCUUUUGCAGUUUCAUGUUUCCUUGACCUUUUGAGAGAAGAAUGAAAAAUCUGAUCCAACUGCUACUCCCUGUUACAAUGCUGAAAGAGCAGUGCAAACUUAAUUUGCUGACUCCCGAGGAGCAGAAUUUCAACUUGCCUAUUGAAAAACCUGGGAGAGAGCUGAGGUCUGUAGAGAUCUGAAUAAAGCUGGAUAAUCUGGAUGCCAAACCUCUCUCCCAGCUUGCUGAGGACAAGCACAGUGGAUGGGUUGCUUCUUACCGAGUCUCAGCGCUGCCUGGGAGACGCUGGCGGACGCCAAUCACCACAGUGAAAUGCUGCAUGGCAAUACAAACGCAGCUUUUUUCCCCUUUUGGAGAUGAGCACGUGUCAAUUGAACAAAGGAUGAUAGGAAAGUUUUCUUCCAAAGAUGAGCAAAACAAGGAGCACACUCUGAACAAAGAUCCUCCCAUUCCAUGAAGCUUUGGCAGCUAUAAAACAUCACAGAGCAGCAGCUUCCCAGGGAUGCUUUGGGACUGAGCAACCUCUGGGUUCCCCAGCGGUGCUGAAGAACUCCAACAUUUCUCCGUUUUGAAUAGAGCUGGCAAAAUCCAUAAUUGCUUCCAUUCUGCUUGGCUGGAAAAUAGCAAAAGCCAGGCAUGCUGCCACGGGACUGCUGGGUGCAGAGUGGGUAUGACAGAGGGCUCUGCACCAAGGCUUACCCAACAGAAGUGAAGGCAUCCCACAGCUCAGCCUGGCUUUCAUGAAUCUUUUAAUAUACAUAUAUAUUUUCCUUUUGUGCGUGUAUUUUUUUCCUUCCCUCGAGUGGAGCAGCACCAGUGAGGUGAUGACUUACCUACUGCAGCCUGGGAGAUAGCAAUCUGGAAGGGAUGGUCAUCACACAAUGCCCGAGCAGAGCUUUUCUGGCCCAAAUUUCUCUGAUUACGUUGUUACCUGGUCGGUGAAGAGAACCGUGAAAAACACAAUUACCAGGAAGCCCUGCUCCUUUCCUUGUCUCUUUGUCUCACUGCAGAUUGGGCAUGUGACUCACAGGGAAAUAGAAGAGCUGCCAUUUUCAUUUGUUUGACCCAAAGGGGUGCUGCGUGCCAGUCACACCUAACUGUGGGAAAGCUCAGCCACUGGCUGACAAACCUGAUCACAUCGUGUUUGUAGCUGGCAUUUAGAUGCAUCUGAUGGACCAGAGCAUGGCAUGAAGAACAGGAAAACCUCCGUCCUGCAGACAGCACAGGGAAGGGAGGAUAAAGGUUUGAAUGAGCUUGGUGUGGCGGGACAGAAAUUUUUUUGGCCACUGAUGUAGCAUCAGACUAAAGGGAAAGGGCACAAGCAGGCUUUAACUGUGGGUGUUGGUGACAGACUUGCUCAGUGCAAGCCCAUGUGUGCAUUCUGGGCUGCACAGGAAGACUUGGCUGUGUCCUCAUGGGAUGCACGGCAGGGAAGGAGAACCUCCCCAGUGGACCAAAGGACUGUGUCCUGAGUGAACUGGAUGACAGCUUCCCUGAAGUUAUGGACUGAAGGAGAACUUUUCCAAUUGACUGAGGGAAAACCUCCCCUACUGACUGCCACCCCAAAGCCCUAGCUGAAGACUACAAUGACAAAUGCCUACGAGUGACCAACAUUUGCAUUAUGAAUUGCAAUCAAAAAGAACUGGCUCCAAGUCAGCACAGAUUCCCAGCUGAUUUGAUGGGUAAGCACGCUUCAAUGGGAUGGUUAAAAUGUAUUGUUUGCCUAUUGCACGCUGCAAAAAUAAAUAGCCAAAGCAGGAGAGAACAGACUUUGGCAAGCAAACUGACAACAAGCCAUGCUCUUGAGGAAGGCUCAUGAUUUGGAGGGAACAUUGAGCUGGAAGAGAACAGUGAAUAUAAAUAAGAAUAAAGUUUACCUUCAGCAGCACGAAUGGCAGGGCUGUGAGCCACGUCUCAGACUUUAUCAUUCUUCUGCUGAGGGAAAAGUUUGAAACAUAUUUGCUGUUUUACACUCUGUUGUAUUCUCAUUGUAGGAAGAUAUCAGCCACUGCAGAAAGGUCUUUCAAUAUUUAAGCAUUUUUUGGCCAUCUCUAGUUUGUCAGUUUAUGAGUGACGAGGGAGGACAUCAGGUCCAGCAGAUGAAGGGAAAUCCCACCGUUAGGUCUUGGUGGCUGUCAAACUUUAAGAAGUUUCCCUGCCUCUAGAACAUAAAUAUUCCUGAUUUCUCUGUGCUGAGGGUAUAAUAGUAGGUAAAUGGUACAUGAUACAGCUCUGAUGUGCUGUUUGUGUAACUGUUGGACUUAUAAACUGAAAUGUAUUAGAUCUAUUAUACGAGCAACAUCAUCCAGAAAAUAGAAUACAAUCAUAGAAUCGUAGAAUUAUUAAGGUUGGAAAAGACCUCUAAGAUCAUCUCGUCCAACUAUCCACCUAACACCAAAAUUUCCCACUAACCCAUGUUCCUCAGUGCCACAUCCACACAGCUCUCAAACACCUCCAGGGGCAGUGAGUCCACCACCUCCCUGGGCAGCCUGUGCCACUGCCUCACUGCCCUUUCUGAGAAGAAAUUUCUCCUAAUAUCCAACCUGAACCUCCCCUGGUACAACUUGAGGCCAUUCACUCUCAUCCAUUGCUGUAACCUGGGAGCAGAGGCUGAUCCCCACCUUGCCACAACCUCCUUUUAGGCUGUUGUAGAGAUUUAUAAGGUCUCUACAUCCCUACGUCUCCUC